This 2908-nucleotide ribosomal RNA is filed under the name Clostridioides difficile. RNAcentral describes it as "23S ribosomal RNA". It matches the Rfam family "Bacterial large subunit ribosomal RNA". The record is from RNAcentral. Lineage: Bacteria; Bacillati; Bacillota; Clostridia; Peptostreptococcales; Peptostreptococcaceae.
UGGUCAAGUUAUUAAGGGUGCAGGGCGGAUGCCUUGGCACUAGGAGCCGAUGAAGGACGUGAUAAGCUGCGAUAAGCUUCGGGGAGUUGCACGUAAACUUUGAUCCGAAGAUUUCCGAAUGAGGAAACUCACUUAGAGUAAUGUCUAAGUAUCAUUAAGUGAAUACAUAGCUUAAUGAGGGGAACUCAGGGAACUGAAACAUCUAAGUACCUGAAGGAAGAGAAAGAAAUUCGAUUCCGUAAGUAGCGGCGAGCGAACGCGGAUUAGCCCAAACCAAUAAAGUUUUCUUUAUUGGGGUUGCGGACAUAUCAUAACGAAGAGGUAUCGUAAUUGAAGAGGUUUGGAAAGACCCACCACAGAAGGUAAUAGUCCUGUAUGUUAAACGAGAAGACUUUAGAUAUGAUCCAGAGUACCACGGGACACGUGAAACCCUGUGGGAAGCAGGAGGGACCACCCUCCAAGGCUAAAUACUACCUAGUGACCGAUAGCGUAUAGUACCGUGAGGGAAAGGUGAAAAGAACCCCGGGAGGGGAGUGAAAUAGAACCUGAAACCCUGCACUUACAAGCUGUGGAAGCACAUUUCUUGUGUGACCGCGUACUUUUUGUAGAACGGGCCAACGAGUUACGUUAAGUAGCAAGGUUAAGCACUUAAGGUGCGGAGCCGUAGCGAAAGCGAGUUUUAACUGAGCGUUCAGUUACUUGACGUAGACCCGAAACCGGGCGACCUACCCAUGAGCAGGAUGAAGCGAAAGUAAAAUUUCGUGGAGGUCCGAACCCACGAGCGUUGAAAAGCUCGGGGAUGACUUGUGGGUAGCGGUGAAAUUCCAAUCGAGCCCGGAGAUAGCUGGUUCUCCCCGAAAUAGCUUUAGGGCUAGCCUCAAGGUGAGAGAUACGGAGGUAGAGCACUGAAUGUCCUAGGGGUAUUGCACCUACCGAAGACUAUCAAACUCCGAAUGCCGUCAUCUUAUACUUGGGAGUCAGACUGUGGGUGAUAAGAUUCAUAGUCGAAAGGGCAACAGCCCAGAUCGUCAGCUAAGGUCCCUAAAUGUAAGUUAAGUGGUAAAGGAUGUGGGAUUGCACAGACAACCAGGAUGUUGGCUUAGAAGCAGCCACUCAUUCAAAGAGUGCGUAAUAGCUCACUGGUCGAGUGAUCCUGCGCCGAAGAUUUCCGGGGCUAAAACUUACUACCGAAGCUACGGCAUCAGUAAUGAUGGGUAGGGGAGCUUCCCAUACGGGUUGAAGCAUGACCGUAAGGACAUGUGGACAGUAUGGGAGUGAGAAUGUUGGCAUGAGUAGCGAGAUGUGGGUGAGAAUCCCACAGGCCGUAAACCCAAGGUUUCCAGGGGGAAGGUUCGUCCGCCCUGGGUUAGUCGGGACCUAAGCUGAGGCCGAAAGGCGUAGGUGAUGGACAACAGGUUGAUAUUCCUGUACUACCGAUAACUGUUUGAGGAGAAGGGAUGACACAGUAGGAUAAGCUAAGCACACUGUUGGUUAUGUGUGCCCAAGCAUUGAGGCAGUCAAAGUAGGCAAAUCCGCUUUGAUAAUGCUGGGAUGUGAUGGGGAGCGAAAUUUAGUAGCGAAGUAGCUGAUUUCACACUGUCAAGAAAAGUCUCUAUCGAGGUUAAAGGUACCCGUACCGCAAACCGACACAGGUGGGUGAGGAGAGUAUCCUAAGGCCAGCGAGAGAACUGUUGUUAAGGAACUCGGCAAAAUGACCCCGUAACUUAGGGAUAAGGGGUGCCACCAUCAGGUGGCCGCAGAGAAUAGGCCCAAGCGACUGUUUACCAAAAACAUAGGUUUCUGCUAAGUCGCAAGACGAUGUAUAGGAGCUGACGCCUGCCCGGUGCUGGAAGGUUAAGGGGAUCUGUUAGAGCAAUCGAAGCAGUGAACUUAAGCCCCAGUAAACGGCGGCCGUAACUAUAACGGUCCUAAGGUAGCGAAAUUCCUUGUCGGGUAAGUUCCGACCCGCACGAAAGGCGUAACGAUUUGGGCACUGUCUCAACAACAGACUCGGUGAAAUUGUAAUUCCGGUGAAGAUGCCGGAUACCUGCGACAGGACGGAAAGACCCCAUGGAGCUUUACUGUAGCUUGACAUUGGGUCUUGGUACUACAUGUACAGGAUAGGUGGGAGGCUUUGAAACCAGGACGCCAGUUUUGGCGGAGCCAUCCUUGGGAUACCACCCUUGUAGUACUGGGACUCUAACCAUAGGCCAUGAAUCUGGUCUUGGGACACUGUCAGGUGGGCAGUUUGACUGGGGCGGUCGCCUCCCAAAAAGGUAACGGAGGCGCUCAAAGGUUCUCUCAGUACGGUCGGAAAUCGUACGUAGAGUGUAAAGGCAAAGAGAGCUUGAUUGCAAGACAUACAGGUCGAGCAAGGAUGAAAAUCGGACUUAGUGAUCCGGUGGUUCUGCGUGGAAGGGCCAUCGCUCAACGGAUAAAAGCUACCCUGGGGAUAACAGGCUUAUCUCCCCCAAGAGUCCACAUCGACGGGGAGGUUUGGCACCUCGAUGUCGGCUCAUCACAUCCUGGGGCUGUAGUAGGUCCCAAGGGUUGGGCUGUUCGCCCAUUAAAGUGGUACGCGAGCUGGGUUCAGAACGUCGUGAGACAGUUCGGUCCCUAUCCGUCGCAGGCGUAGGAAAUUUGAGAAGACCUGUCCUUAGUACGAGAGGACCGGGAUGGACGUACCUCUGGUGUACCAGUUGUCCUGCCAAGGGCAUGGCUGGGUAGCUAUGUGCGGAAUGGAUAAGCGCUGAAAGCAUCUAAGCGCGAAGCCAACUUCAAGAUAAGAUUUCCCACCGCAAGGGUAAGACCCCAGAAAGACUAUCUGGUUGAUAGGUCGAAGGUGUAAGUGCAGCAAUGUAUUUAGCUUAUCGAUACUAAUAGGUCGAGGACUUGACCAAUAUUUAUU